Molecule: unclassified non-coding RNA, 406 nt
Filed under: soil metagenome
Description: partial contains 5.8S ribosomal RNA, internal transcribed spacer 2, and large subunit ribosomal RNA
Rfam family: 5.8S ribosomal RNA (bases 1-121)
Source: RNAcentral
GAUGAAGAACGCAGCGAAAUGCGAUAAGUAAUGUGAAUUGCAGAAUUCAGUGAAUCAUCGAAUCUUUGAACGCACCUUGCGCCCUUUGGCCAUUCCGAAGGGCAUGCCUGUUUGAGUAUCAUGAACACCUCAACUCUUCAUGGUUUUCCAUGAUGAGCUUGGACUUUGGGGGUCUUGCUGGCCUGUGGGUCGGCUCCUCUCAAAUGAAUCAGCUUGCCGGUUUUUGGUGGGCAUCACAGGUGUGAUAACUAUCUACGCUUGUGGUUUUCCACCAGGGUAACCUUCAGCAGUGGAGGUUCACUGGAGCUUACAAAUGUCUCUCCUCUGUGAGGACAGCCCUUUGAAUGUUUGAUCUCAAAUCAGGUAGGGCUACCCGCUGAACUUAAGCAUAUCAAUAAGCGGAGGA